GAGUAAUACGAGAACAGCUACCAGGGCGCCGCACCGCCGAGGGCAGGCGCGUCGACGGGCACGAGGCGACACACGCCACGCACCGCGCAGCCGCCGACCGGCCGAUAAACGACCAACUGACUCACAUCAUACACAGAUUUUUAUUAAAAUAAACGCCUCCCAUCAAUAUGAUGGAAACGCAAGCGUGUUAUAUCAGUAUCUUCGCUUAAUGUCACGCCCGCGUGUCGGAAGUGGUAGCCGUUAGGGUGCAACACUUUACUCGCGGCGUGUACGGAUGUGUGUGAAUAAUGGCUAGAUGAAUAUAGUUAGUAGUUGCAAGUUGCAGCGUGCGGCGUGCCGGGUCAUGCAGCCGGCGAGGUCGGCAGUGCGCGGCCGCAGAGGUGACCGCGUGGAGCAAAAACUACGCGCUCAUGUAUUUGUUCCACGUACUACCUAGUGCCUACCUACCGACCACUACCUGCUGCAAUUAGCCUGUGUAUAUUCGUGCGUCGGUUACUUUUUUUCUAGUAAUAGACGAGCAAGUGAAUGUUCAGGUGGGGUAUGAGCGGCGCGAUGUGGAUCUGUCGACACGUCUCCCACCUGCUCGCUUGCCAACUAAGAAAAAAUAUAUAAUGCUACGUUGGAGUUUUGAGAAAAUAAUAUGGAUGCACUACUAAAUAUUAAGCGACGCGGCGCGGCCGUCAGUCGCGCGGCGGCGC
Molecule: long non-coding RNA, 698 nt
Organism: Manduca sexta (tobacco hornworm)
Lineage: Eukaryota; Metazoa; Arthropoda; Insecta; Lepidoptera; Sphingidae
Exons: 3
Source: RefSeq, a predicted model, not a curated record